Molecule: ribosomal RNA, 467 nt
Filed under: uncultured bacterium
Lineage: Bacteria
Description: partial 16S ribosomal RNA
Rfam family: Bacterial small subunit ribosomal RNA
Source: RNAcentral
ACGAACGCUGGCGGCGUGCUUAACACAUGCCAGUCGCACGGAAAGGCCCUGCUUUUGUGGGGUGCUCGCGUGGCGAAUGGGUGAGUAACACGUGAGUAACCUGCCCUUGACUUUGGGAUAACUUCAGGAAACUGGGGCUAAUACCGGAUAGGAGCUCCUGCUGCAUGGUGGGGGUUGGAAAGUUUCGGCGGUUGGGGAUGGACUCGCGGCUUAUCAGCUUGUUGGUGGGGUAGUGGCUUACCAAGGCUUUGACGGGUAGCCGGCCUGAGAGGGUGACCGGCCACAUUGGGACUGAGAUACGGCCCAGACUCCUACGGGAGGCAGCAGUGGGGAAUAUUGCACAAUGGGCGGAGGCCUGAUGCAGCAACGCCGCGUGCGGGAUGACGGCCUUCGGGUUGUAAACCGCUUUCGCCUGUGACGAAGCGUGAGUGACGGUAAUGGGUAAAGAAGCACCGGCUAACUACGUG